ACGCCGCGUGAGUGAUGAAGGUUUUCGGAUCGUAAAGCUCUGUUGUUAGGGAAGAACAAGUGCAAGAGUAACUGCUUGCACCUUGACGGUACCUAACCAGAAAGCCACGGCUAACUACGUGCCAGCAGCCGCGGUAAUACGUAGGUGGCAAGCGUUGUCCGGAAUUAUUGGGCGUAAAGGGCUCGCAGGCGGUUUCUUAAGUCUGAUGKGAAAGCCCCCGGCUCAACCGGGGAGGGUCAUUGKAAACUGGGAAACUUGAGUGCAGAAGAGGAGAGUGGAAUUCCACG
This 287-nucleotide ribosomal RNA is filed under the name Bacillus aerophilus. Its description in RNAcentral is "partial 16S ribosomal RNA". It matches the Rfam family "Bacterial small subunit ribosomal RNA", at positions 394 to 673 of the family's 1533-position model. The record is from RNAcentral. Lineage: Bacteria; Bacillati; Bacillota; Bacilli; Caryophanales; Bacillaceae.